UUGGUUUCCUUGGAUAUUGCCUUGGAAAACCCCCUGAUUACUCACAUAGUUUGCCUCAGCAUCAGCACCUGCAGGUACAAUACCUUGAGAUCCACAACCUUGACCAUUUCAGUCUUGUCGGAUAGCAAGUGCUUAGCCAGCACCAUCUGCGUCUUCAAAUGGGCCAUGUCCUGAUCUCACUCCUCAUCCCUUUUACGUUGCUCUUCAGUAAUACCA
RNAcentral lists this long non-coding RNA (216 nucleotides) under Capsicum annuum. RNAcentral's name for it is "long non-coding RNA (CANN_LNC012859)". Lineage: Eukaryota; Viridiplantae; Streptophyta; Magnoliopsida; Solanales; Solanaceae. The record is from RNAcentral.